This 554-nucleotide ribosomal RNA is filed under the name uncultured bacterium. RNAcentral's name for it is "partial 16S ribosomal RNA". It matches the Rfam family "Bacterial small subunit ribosomal RNA", at positions 355 to 900 of the family's 1533-position model. The record is from RNAcentral.
UAGGGAAUCUUCCACAAUGGACGCAAGUCUGAUGGAGCAACGCCGCGUGAGUGAAGAAGGUCUUCGGAUCGUAAAGCUCUGUUGUUGGUGAAGAAGGAUAGAGGCAGUAACUGGUCUUUAUUUGACGGUAAUCAACCAGAAAGUCACGGCUAACUACGUGCCAGCAGCCGCGGUAAUACGUAGGUGGCAAGCGUUGUCCGGAUUUAUUGGGCGUAAAGCGAGCGCAGGCGGAAUGAUAAGUCUGAUGUGAAAGCCCACGGCUCAACCGUGGAACUGCAUCGGAAACUGUCAUUCUUGAGUGCAGAAGGGGAGAGUGGAACUCCAUGUGUAGCGGUGGAAUGCGUAGAUAUAUGGAAGAACACCAGUGGCGAAGGCGGCUCUCUGGUCUGCAACUGACGCUGAGGCUCGAAAGCAUGGGUAGCGAACAGGAUUAGAUACCCUGGUAGUCCAUGCCGUAAACGAUGAGCGCUAGGUGUUGGGGACUUUCCGGUUCUCAGUGCCGCAGCAAACGCAUUAAGCGCUCCGCCUGGGGAGUACGACCGCAAGGUUGAAAC